AAAUUGAAGAGUUUGAUCAUGGCUCAGAUUGAACGCUGGCGGCAGGCCUAACACAUGCAAGUCGAGCGGUAGCACAGAGAGCUUGCUCUCGGGUGACGAGCGGCGGACGGGUGAGUAAUGUCUGGGAAACUGCCUGAUGGAGGGGGAUAACUACUGGAAACGGUAGCUAAUACCGCAUAACGUCGCAAGACCAAAGUGGGGGACCUUCGGGCCUCAUGCCAUCAGAUGUGCCCAGAUGGGAUUAGCUAGUAGGUGGGGUAACGGCUCACCUAGGCGACGAUCCCUAGCUGGUCUGAGAGGAUGACCAGCCACACUGGAACUGAGACACGGUCCAGACUCCUACGGGAGGCAGCAGUGGGGAAUAUUGCACAAUGGGCGCAAGCCUGAUGCAGCCAUGCCGCGUGUGUGAAGAAGGCCUUCGGGUUGUAAAGCACUUUCAGCGGGGAGGAAGGCGUUAAGGUUAAUAACCUUGUCGAUUGACGUUACCCGCAGAAGAAGCACCGGCUAACUCCGUGCCAGCAGCCGCGGUAAUACGGAGGGUGCAAGCGUUAAUCGGAAUUACUGGGCGUAAAGCGCACGCAGGCGGUCUGUCAAGUCGGAUGUGAAAUCCCCGGGCUUAACCUGGGAACUGCAUUCGAAACUGGCAGGCUAGAGUCUUGUAGAGGGGGGUAGAAUUCCAGGUGUAGCGGUGAAAUGCGUAGAGAUCUGGAGGAAUACCGGUGGCGAAGGCGGCCCCCUGGACAAAGACUGACGCUCAGGUGCGAAAGCGUGGGGAGCAAACAGGAUUAGAUACCCUGGUAGUCCACGCCGUAAACGAUGUCGAUUUGGAGGUUGUGCCCUUGAGGCGUGGCUUCCGGAGCUAACGCGUUAAAUCGACCGCCUGGGGAGUACGGCCGCAAGGUUAAAACUCAAAUGAAUUGACGGGGGCCCGCACAAGCGGUGGAGCAUGUGGUUUAAUUCGAUGCAACGCGAAGAACCUUACCUGGUCUUGACAUCCACAGAACUUUCCAGAGAUGGAUUGGUGCCUUCGGGAACUGUGAGACAGGUGCUGCAUGGCUGUCGUCAGCUCGUGUUGUGAAAUGUUGGGUUAAGUCCCGCAACGAGCGCAACCCUUAUCCUUUGUUGCCAGCGGUCCGGCCGGGAACUCAAAGGAGACUGCCAGUGAUAAACUGGAGGAAGGUGGGGAUGACGUCAAGUCAUCAUGGCCCUUACGACCAGGGCUACACACGUGCUACAAUGGCAUAUACAAAGAGAAGCGACCUCGCGAGAGCAAGCGGACCUCAUAAAGUAUGUCGUAGUCCGGAUUGGAGUCUGCAACUCGACUCCAUGAAGUCGGAAUCGCUAGUAAUCGUAGAUCAGAAUGCUACGGUGAAUACGUUCCCGGGCCUUGUACACACCGCCCGUCACACCAUGGGAGUGGGUUGCAAAAGAAGUAGGUAGCUUAACCUUCGGGAGGGCGCUUACCACUUUGUGAUUCAUGACUGGGGUGAAGUCGUAACAAGGUAACCGUAGGGGAACCUGCGGUUGGAUCACCUCCUUACCUUAAAGAA
This 1550-nucleotide ribosomal RNA is filed under the name Klebsiella pneumoniae. RNAcentral describes it as "bacterial SSU rRNA". It matches the Rfam family "Bacterial small subunit ribosomal RNA". The record is from RNAcentral. Lineage: Bacteria; Pseudomonadati; Pseudomonadota; Gammaproteobacteria; Enterobacterales; Enterobacteriaceae.